This 440-nucleotide ribosomal RNA is filed under the name uncultured bacterium. RNAcentral's name for it is "partial 16S ribosomal RNA". It matches the Rfam family "Bacterial small subunit ribosomal RNA", at positions 338 to 795 of the family's 1533-position model. The record is from RNAcentral.
CCUCCUUUGUUCCUCCUUUUUGCCUCUUGCCCCAUGGGGGCACCCCUGCUGCAGCAACGCCGCGUGAGUGAUGACGGCCUUCGGGUUGUAAAGCUCUGUCUUCAGGGACGAUAAUGACGGUACCUGAGGAGGAAGCCACGGCUAACUACGUGCCAGCAGCCGCGGUAAUACGUAGGUGGCGAGCGUUGUCCGGAUUUACUGGGCGUAAAGGGAGCGUAGGCGGACUUUUAAGUGAGAUGUGAAAUACUCGGGCUCAACUUGAGUGCUGCAUUUCAAACUGGAAGUCUAGAGUGCAGGAGAGGAGAAUGGAAUUCCUAGUGUAGCGGUGAAAUGCGUAGAGAUUAGGAAGAACACCAGUGGCGAAGGCGAUUCUCUGGACUGUAACUGACGCUGAGGCUCGAAAGCGUGGGGAGCAAACAGGAUUAGAUACCCUAGUAGUC